CUUGGUCAUUUAGAGGAAGUAAAAGUCGUAACAAGGUUUCCGUAGGUGAACCUGCGGAAGGAUCAUUAAUGAGAACUUGCCCUUCGGGGUAGAUCUCCCACCCUUUGUAUACUUACUUUGUUGCUUUGGCACACCUGCCCUCGGGCUACCGGCUUCGGCUGGUGAGUGUGUGCCGGAGAACCCAAAACUCUGUUUAAAAUGUCGUCUGAGUACUAUAUAAUAGUUAAAACUUUCAACAACGGAUCUCUUGGUUCUGGCAUCGAUGAAGAACGCAGCGAAAUGCGAUAAGUAAUGUGAAUUGCAGAAUUCAGUGAAUCAUCGAAUCUUUGAACGCACAUUGCGCUCCCUGGUAUUCCGGGGAGCAUGCCUGUUCGAGCGUCAUUACAACCCUCAAGCUCAGCUUGGUAUUGGGCCUCGCCAUCACCGGCGGGCCUUAAAAUCAGUGGCGGUGCCGUCUGGCUCCAAGCGUAGUAAUUAUUCUCGCUUUGGAAUCCUUCGGUUGCUUGCCAAUAACCCCCAAUUUUUUAAGGUUGACCUCGGAUCAGGUAGGGAUACCCGCUGAACUUAAGCAUAUCAAUAAGCGGAGGA
RNAcentral lists this ribosomal RNA (588 nucleotides) under uncultured Holwaya. Its description in RNAcentral is "eukaryotic LSU rRNA". The stretch from base 228 to 381 matches the Rfam family "5.8S ribosomal RNA". The record is from RNAcentral. Lineage: Eukaryota; Fungi; Ascomycota; Leotiomycetes; Helotiales; Helotiaceae.